UGGACGAACGCUGGCGGCGUGCCUAAUACAUGCAAGUCGAGCGAAUCUGAGGGAGCUUGCUUCCAAAGAUUAGCGGCGGACGGGUGAGUAACACGUGGGCAACCUGCCUGUAAGACUGGGAUAACUCCGGGAAACCGGGGCUAAUACCGGAUAAUUCAUUCUCUCACAUGAGGAAAUGCUGAAAGACGGUUUCGGCUGUCACUUACAGAUGGGCCCGCGGCGCAUUAGCUAGUUGGUGAGGUAACGGCUCACCAAGGCCACGAUGCGUAGCCGACCUGAGAGGGUGAUCGGCCACACUGGGACUGAGACACGGCCCAGACUCCUACGGGAGGCAGCAGUAGGGAAUCUUCCGCAAUGGACGAAAGUCUGACGGAGCAACGCCGCGUGAGCGAUGAAGGCCUUCGGGUCGUAAAGCUCUGUUGUUAGGGAAGAACAAGUAUCGGAGUAACUGCCGGUACCUUGACGGUACCUAACCAGAAAGCCACGCUAACUACGUGCCAGCAGCCGCGUAAUACU
This 516-nucleotide ribosomal RNA is filed under the name uncultured Bacilli bacterium. RNAcentral's name for it is "bacterial SSU rRNA". It matches the Rfam family "Bacterial small subunit ribosomal RNA", at positions 27 to 527 of the family's 1533-position model. The record is from RNAcentral. Lineage: Bacteria; Bacillati; Bacillota; Bacilli.